RNAcentral lists this ribosomal RNA (450 nucleotides) under uncultured Glomus. RNAcentral describes it as "SSU rRNA". It matches the Rfam family "Eukaryotic small subunit ribosomal RNA", at positions 569 to 1025 of the family's 1831-position model. The record is from RNAcentral. Lineage: Eukaryota; Fungi; Glomeromycota; Glomeromycetes; Glomerales; Glomeraceae.
AGCAGCCGCGGUAAUUCCAGCUCCAAUAGCGUAUAUUAAAGUUGCUGCAGUUAAAAAGCCCGUAGUUGAAUUUCGGGACCAAUAUGUCGGUCGUGCCUCGGUACGUACUGGCAUCGUUGGUUUCUCCCUUCUGACGAACCAUGAUGUCAUUCAUUUGGUGUCGUGGGGAAUCAGGACUGUUACUUUGAAAAAUUAGAGUGUUUAAAGCAGGCUCACGCUUGAAUACAUUAGCAUGGAAUAAUGAAAUAGGACGUUUGAUUCUAUUUUGUUGGUUUCUAGGAUCGACGUAAUGAUUAAUAGGGAUAGUUGGGGGCAUUAGUAUUCAAUUGUCAGAGGUGAAAUUCUUGGAUUUAUUGAAGACUAACUACUGCGAAAGCAUUUGCCAAGGAUGUUUUCAUUAAUCAAGAACGAAAGUUAGGGGAUCGAAGACGAUCAGAUACCGUCGUAGUC